Molecule: non-coding RNA, 285 nt
Organism: Vicia faba (fava bean)
Lineage: Eukaryota; Viridiplantae; Streptophyta; Magnoliopsida; Fabales; Fabaceae
Source: the annotation of a GenBank genome assembly
AUGAUUCUCUUCAAACACCAAGCAUACAUUACAAUUACACCUUUACAAACAAAGAAAAACACAACAAGAUACUAUCCUAUCCCAAUCCUAAUCUUCAAGUCAAUUUCUAAAAACCUCAUUCAAGCUUUUCCAAAAUUUUUCUCGCUCAAUACACCUCACCAAACCAAUUCCCAUGUCAAAAAUCUGGUCACCAUUUUAAAGCCAUGUCCGAACAUACUUGCAGCCUGCAACAUAAACCAAUCCAUAUUAAAACUCCUUAUCAGAAAAGAAAUUAAACAAAAAUAG